UACGUAGGCAGCAAACGUUGUUCGGAAUUACUGGGCGUAAAGAGUGUGUAGGCGGUUGGGUAAGUUUGGUGUGAAAUCUCCCGGCUUAACUGGGAGGGUGCGCCGAAAACUGCCUGGCUUGAGUACUGGAGAGGAUAGCGGAAUUCCUGGUGUAGCGGUGAAAUGCGUAGAUAUCAGGAGGAACACCUGCGGUGUAGACGGCUAUCUGGACAGUAACUGACGCUGAGACACGAAAGCGUGGGGAGCAAAC
Molecule: ribosomal RNA, 250 nt
Filed under: uncultured bacterium
Lineage: Bacteria
Description: partial 16S ribosomal RNA
Rfam family: Bacterial small subunit ribosomal RNA
Source: RNAcentral